RNAcentral lists this non-coding RNA (30 nucleotides) under Mus musculus (house mouse). The record is from RNAcentral. Lineage: Eukaryota; Metazoa; Chordata; Mammalia; Rodentia; Muridae.
UGGGAUUUUUGCAGAAUGAACAAGCCUCUG